Molecule: long non-coding RNA, 280 nt
Filed under: Homo sapiens (human)
Lineage: Eukaryota; Metazoa; Chordata; Mammalia; Primates; Hominidae
Description: HSALNT0374303
Source: RNAcentral
AAGAAAAGAGAAUUAGCCGUGGUCAAUGUGUUUACAACACAGACAUCCCCAGAUGUUGGAAUUUAUUUUUUUAACCCCAGGAAGCCAGUUAUUAACAUGCACCACCAAAGGAGAGGAUAGAGGUAGCUGACAGGGAAGUCUAAGAAGAUACUAAAGCAUUUUCAGCUUCAAACAUGUGCUACCUGACUAGAUGGAAUUCCUUGAGAACUGUAUUAACAUGUUUCAAAGAGUUGAAUUAACAGAUGGAGUUUCGCUCUUGUUGCCCAGGCUGGAGUGCAAU